RNAcentral lists this ribosomal RNA (549 nucleotides) under uncultured bacterium. RNAcentral's name for it is "partial 16S ribosomal RNA". It matches the Rfam family "Bacterial small subunit ribosomal RNA", at positions 358 to 898 of the family's 1533-position model. The record is from RNAcentral.
GGAAUCUUCCACAAUGGACGCAAGUCUGAUGGAGCAACGCCGCGUGAGUGAAGAAGGUUUUCGGACCGUAAAGCUCUGUUGUUGGUGAAGAAGGAUAGAGGUAGUAACUGGCCUUUAUUUGACGGUAAUCAACCAGAAAGUCACGGCUAACUACGUGCCAGCAGCCGCGGUAAUACGUAGGUGGCAAGCGUUGUCCGGAUUUAUUGGGCGUAAAGCGAGCGCAGGCGGAAGAAUAAGUCUGAUGUGAAAGCCCUCGGCUUAACCGAGGAAUUGCAUCGGAAACUGUUUUCUUGAGUGCAGAAGAGGAGAGUAGAACUCCAUGUGUAGCGGUGGAAUGCGUAGAUAUAUGGAAGAAUACCAGUGGCGAAGGCGGCUCUCUGGUCUGCAACUGACGCUGAGGCUCGAAAGCAUGGGUAGCGAACAGGAUUAGAUACCCUGGUAGUCCAUGCCGUAAACGAUGAGUGCUAAGUGUUGGGAGGCUUCCGCCUCUCAGUGCUGCAGCUAACGCAUUAAGCACUCCGCCUGGGGGAGUACGACCGCAAGGUUGAA